CCCUUAGAUGUUCUGGGCCGCACGCGCGCUACACUGACAGAGCCAGCGAGUUCUUUUUCCUUGGCUGAAAAGUCAUGGGUAAUCUUGUGAAACUCUGUCGUGCUGGGGAUAGAGCAUUGCAAUUAUUGCUCUUCAACGAGGAAUUCCUAGUAAGCGUAAGUCAUCAGCUUGCGUUGAUUACGUCCCUGCCCUUUGUACACACCGCCCGUCGCUACUACCGAUUGAACGAUCCGAUGAAAACUGUGGAUUGAGAGUCUGAGUGGGUUCGCCUACCUCAACUUUCGAGAAGCGGUUUAAAUCUUAUCGUUUAGAGGAAGGAGAAGUCGUAACA
Molecule: ribosomal RNA, 331 nt
Filed under: uncultured eukaryote
Lineage: Eukaryota
Description: partial 18S ribosomal RNA
Rfam family: Eukaryotic small subunit ribosomal RNA
Source: RNAcentral